RNAcentral lists this unclassified non-coding RNA (292 nucleotides) under uncultured fungus. RNAcentral's name for it is "sequence contains ITS1". The record is from RNAcentral. Lineage: Eukaryota; Fungi.
GGACUACGCGGGUUUCUAAUCCUGUUUGCUCCCCACGCUUUCGUGCAUGAGCGUCAGUAUUGGCCCAGGGGGCUGCCUUCGCCAUCGGUAUUCCUCCACAUCUCUACGCAUUUCACUGCUACACGUGGAAUUCUACCCCCCUCUGCCAUACUCUAGCCCGCCAGUCACAAAUGCAGUUCCCAGGUUAAGCCCGGGGAUUUCACAUCUGUCUUAGCGAACCGCCUGCGCACGCUUUACGCCCAGUAAUUCCGAUUAACGCUUGCACCCUACGUAUUACCGCGGCGGCUGACAC